CAGCCGUAAACAAUGUGCGUUAGGUGUGUCGGUAACCACGCGUUACUGAUGCGCCGAAGAGAAAUCGUGAAACGCACCACCUGGGAAGUACGGUCGCAAGGCUGAAACUUAAAGGAAUUGGCGGGGGAGCACCACAACAGGUGGAGCCUGCGGUUUAAUUGGAUUCAACGCCGGACAUCUCACCGGAUAAGACAGCUGAAUGAUUGUCAAUCUGAAGGUUUUACAUGACUAGCUGAGAGGAGGUGCAUGGCCGUCAGUGACU
This 262-nucleotide ribosomal RNA is filed under the name uncultured archaeon. RNAcentral describes it as "partial 16S ribosomal RNA". It matches the Rfam family "Archaeal small subunit ribosomal RNA", at positions 748 to 1009 of the family's 1478-position model. The record is from RNAcentral.